Molecule: ribosomal RNA, 169 nt
Filed under: uncultured bacterium
Lineage: Bacteria
Description: partial 16S rRNA
Rfam family: Bacterial small subunit ribosomal RNA
Source: RNAcentral
CGAGUAGGGAAUCUUCGGCAAUGGACGAAAGUCUGACCGAGCAACGCCGCGUGAGUGAAGAAGGUUUUCGAAUCGUAAAACUCUGUUGGUAGAGAAGAACGUUGGUGAGAGUGGAAAGCUCAUCAAGUGACGGUAACUACCCAGAAAGGGACGGCUAACUACGUGCCAG